Zea mays is the source of this 1789-nucleotide RNA transcript. RefSeq lists it as uncharacterized. The transcript has 11 exons. NCBI's taxonomy places the organism in Eukaryota, Viridiplantae, Streptophyta, Magnoliopsida, Poales, Poaceae. The record is from RefSeq and is marked predicted.
GCGUCAACCAAAUAUGGGGCCUAAAAAUUAGUCCUUACCAAACACUGCCUAACCGCCUAAGGAUUCCGCCGCCGGCACCUUGCCAGCUGACGCCACCAAUCAACGCUUCCCUUUAUGGCCGGAGCAAUAGUUGGCAGACUCGGCCGCCAUCCCACCUCCUUGCUCCUCCUAACACUGCCCCGUCACGCCGCCGCACACCACCGGCUGCACUCUCCUUCCUCCUCCCAAGGUACCGUCCCCCACCUUCCCCUCUUUCUCAGACCCUGGCGCUUCCCAUCCUUUUGCCCUGCCGCUGCUGUCCUGCACGGGCGUCCCCUGAUUUACAACCCUUUGGCUGCAGUUGCAAGAGCCGGAUUGCCAGGUCAGUAUUCAAAAAUGGGUGAUCCAAGUGAGAGGAAUGGACACGGCGCUCUUACCCGGGUGCUAUUCUGUGGUCCAUAUUGGCCUGCUUCUACUAACUACACCAGGGAGUAUUUGCAGGACUAUCCAUUCAUUCAGGUUGAUGAAGUAGGUCUUGAGCAGGUACCUGAUGUUAUUCACAGCUAUCAUAUAUGUGUAGUAAAAAAUAAGCGUAUAGAUUCAGAUAUUAUUGCCAAGGCAACUCAGAUGAAGAUUAUAAUGCAGUAUGGUGUUGGGUUAGAAGGUGUUGAUGUAAAUGCUGCUACAGAACACAAAAUCAAAGUUGCACGAAUACCUGGAAGUACGACAGGAAAUGCUGUCUCUUGCGCAGAAAUGGCAAUCUAUCUUACUCUAGGCAUUCUGCGUAAGCAAAAGGAGAUGGAUACUGCUGUGAACCGGAAAGACCUUGGUGUUCCAGUUGGAGAUACAUUAUUUGGCAAAACAAUCCUUAUCCUUGGAUUUGGGGCCAUUGGCAUCGAGGUUGCCAAGAGGCUAAGACCCUUUGGGGUAAAAAUUCUUGCUACCAAAAGAAAUUGGUCAUCGGACACAUUGCCAUCUUAUGUUGAUGAGCUAGUUGACAAGAAAGGUGGGCCGGAAGAUAUGUAUGAGUUUGCUGGUGAAGCUAACAUUGUUAUAGCAUGCAUGACCUUAACCAGCGAGACAAUUGGAAUUGUGGAUCAUAAGUUUGUUUCAUCAAUGAAAAAGUGUUGUGCAUAAAUAAUAGAGAAGGAAUGAUCCAUGAGUCAUGGGGUCAUAUCUGGUCAACAUUGCUCGGGGACGCCUGCUGGACUACAAGGCUGUGUUUGAUCACCUGGAAUCGGGCCAUCUAGCUGGUCUGGGGAUUGAUGUUGCUUGGAUGGAGCCAUUUGAUCCUGAGGACCCUGUUCUGAAAUUCCCAAACGUCAUUCUAACGCCCCAUGUGGCCGGCGUCACCGAGUAUUCCUACAGAACUAUGGCAAAGUCUGUUGGUGACACCGCCCUUCAGCUUCAUUUAGGCGAGGCGUUCACGGAGGUAGAGUUCGUCAACUAAAAAACCGUCCAGGCGGCAGCCGUAGACGCAUGCCAUUCGUGGGCUAUCGGAACCGCUGAUGCGAUCAUUUGUAGAGAAUAAUGGAUCCGCGACUUGUAAGAAUAAACAUGUAGCCAGAUGUUUGAUGGUGAUCUCCAUGAGAACUCUGCCACUGGCUGCCUUAGCUGGUAGUGGUAGCAAGUCAUUUUCUCAAACAUUGCCUUCUCUUUCUCUGUAUCACUGUUGUCGUCAUGAUCACAACUUUCUUUGUUAGCCGGGUUGGUUAGGUGCUCUAGGUAACACUCCUUAAGUUUGAGUUCAGUUCAAUUCUUAAUUCGACUGAAUUUCAGGCUGAGUUUUAAAAAUAAUACCUUUUUUUUU